This 506-nucleotide ribosomal RNA is filed under the name uncultured bacterium. RNAcentral describes it as "partial 16S ribosomal RNA". It matches the Rfam family "Bacterial small subunit ribosomal RNA", at positions 29 to 523 of the family's 1533-position model. The record is from RNAcentral.
AGUGAACGCUGGCGGCAGGCCUAACACAUGCAAGUCGAACGGCAGCACAGGAGAGCUUGCUCUCUGGGUGGCGAGUAGCGGACGGGUGAGGAAUAUAUCGGAAUCUACCCUUUCGUGGGGGAUAACGUAGGGAAACUUACGCUAAUACCGCAUACGAACUGAGGUUGAAAGCGGCGGACCGCAAGGCGUCGCGCGGAUGGAUGAGCCGAUAUCCGAUUAGCUAGUUGGCGGGGUAAAGGCCCACCAAGGCGACGAUCGGUAGCUGGUCUGAGAGGAUGAUCAGCCACACUGGAACUGAGACACGGUCCAGACUCCUACGGGAGGCAGCAGUGGGGAAUAUUGGACAAUGGGCGCAAGCCUGAUCCAGCCAUGCCGCGUGUGUGAAGAAGGCCUUCGGGCUGUAAAGCACUUUUGUUGGGAAAGAAAAGCGGUCGGUUAAUACCCGGUCGUUCUGACGGUACCCAAAGAAUAAGCACCGGCUAACUUCGUGCCAGCCGCCGCCGUAA